UUUAUGGAGAGUUUGAUCCUGGCUCAGGAUGAACGCUGGCGGCGUGCCUAAUACAUGCAAGUCGAGCGAACAGAUAAGGAGCUUGCUCCUUUGACGUUAGCGGCGGACGGGUGAGUAACACGUGGGUAACCUACCUAUAAGACUGGAAUAACUCCGGGAAAC
Molecule: ribosomal RNA, 162 nt
Filed under: Staphylococcus pseudintermedius
Lineage: Bacteria; Bacillati; Bacillota; Bacilli; Caryophanales; Staphylococcaceae
Description: partial 16S ribosomal RNA
Rfam family: Bacterial small subunit ribosomal RNA
Source: RNAcentral